This is a long non-coding RNA of Daphnia pulicaria, 516 nucleotides long. RefSeq lists it as uncharacterized. NCBI's taxonomy places the organism in Eukaryota, Metazoa, Arthropoda, Branchiopoda, Diplostraca, Daphniidae. The record is from RefSeq and is a predicted model, not a curated record. The transcript has 2 exons.
AAGUGUUCAACAUUGCGUCUGAUGUAAUAUACAGUGCGAAAUUUCCCCUACCCUUAUGCUCUACACUCAUUGACAAAGUGUAAAAUAAUGCAUAAAAUGUAAUAAUAUUAGACAGUUCGAAUUUCUUUUAUGCGAUUAAAUAACUGGCUAAUGUGUGAUGGGAAAAUUGGUAAUGGCUAUCUAAAAAAAUUAAUAAACAAUAAUACAAUCUUUUUUCGACAUUGGCAGAUGGCAGCACCGCAUCCUUGUUUCAGGCCAAUCAUUUUUCUAAACCAGCAACGCCGCAUGAUCACUAAAGUUCGUCUGCAGAUUCCUUUUUCUGAAAUGAAAUUGAAAUUGAAACUUGAAAGCAUGAAAGUUUGAAAUAAGAAAUUCGAAAUACACUACCAACGCAUGUUUGAAGCGUUUGUAGCAUUCUGCAGAUGUGCCAACGGGUUCCCAUCUUCUUAUUCACGUAUAAACCUGAGAAAUACACCGAUUACGUACACCAAUUCCGAGAUUACACCAAUCAAACAC